UGGGGAAUAUUGGACAAUGGGCGCAAGCCUGAUCCAGCCAUACCGCGUGGGUGAAGAAGGCCUUCGUGUUGUAAAGCCCUUUUGUUGGGAAAGAAAAGCAAUCGAUUAAUACCCGGUUGUUCUGACGGUACCCAAAGAAUAAGCACCGGCUAACUUCGUGCCAGCAGCCGCGGUAAUACGAAGGGUGCAAGCGUUACUCGGAAUUACUGGGCGGAAAGCGAGCGUAGGAGGUUGUUUAAGUCUGUUGUGAAAGCCCUGGGCUGAACCUGGGAAGUGCAGUGGAUAGUGGGCAACUAGCGUGUGGUAGAGGGUAGUGGAAUGCCCGGUGUAGCAGUGAAAUGCGUAGAGAUCGGGAGGAACAUCCAUGGCGAAGGCAGCUACCUGGACCAACACUGACACUGAGGCACGAAAGCGUGGGGAGCAAACAGG
Molecule: ribosomal RNA, 429 nt
Filed under: bacterium
Lineage: Bacteria
Description: partial 16S ribosomal RNA
Rfam family: Bacterial small subunit ribosomal RNA
Source: RNAcentral